This 497-nucleotide ribosomal RNA is filed under the name uncultured bacterium. RNAcentral describes it as "partial 16S ribosomal RNA". It matches the Rfam family "Bacterial small subunit ribosomal RNA", at positions 28 to 507 of the family's 1533-position model. The record is from RNAcentral.
GAUGAACGCUGGCGGCGUGCCUAAUACAUGCAAGUCGAGCGAACGGACGAGAAGCUUGCUUCUCUGAUGUUAGCGGCGGACGGGUGAGUAACACGUGGAUAACCUACCUAUAAGACUGGGAUAACUUCGGGAAACCGGAGCUAAUACCGGAUAAUAUUUUGAACCGCAUGGUUCAAAAGUGAAAGACGGUCUUGCUGUCACUUAUAGAUGGAUCCGCGCUGCAUUAGCUAGUUGGUAAGGUAACGGCUUACCAAGGCAACGAUGCAUAGCCGACCUGAGAGGGGGAUCGGACAGACGGGAAAGGAGACACGGGCCAGAAGCCUAGGGGAGGCGGAAGUAGGGAAUGUUCCGAAAAGGGAGAAAGGCUGACGGGGGAGAGGGGCGUGAGUGAGGAAGGUCUUGGGAUCGUAAAAAGCUGUUAUGAGGGAGGAACAGAUGUGGAGGUAGCGGUGCACAGCGUGACGGUACGUAAUGAGAAAGCCACGGCUAACUAAGUG